CUUUGUUUUGCCCUCCAUCUGUCUUUAUUCCUCUCAUUUCCACCUAUUCUUUCUGUGCUAUCUGCUCUCUUUCGCUCCUGUCUAACCGCCUCUCUAAUCCUCUGUAUCCCACAAUCCUUCUUGUCUUUCUCUCUCUUUCUCUGUCUCCAGGGCCAGAGGGCUGUAACCUGUUUAUUUAUCACCUCCCUCAGGAGUUUGGGGACGGCGAGCUGAUGCAGAUGUUCCUGCCUUUCGGUAAUGUCAUCUCCUCCAAAGUGUUUGUGGAUCGGGCGACAAACCAAAGUAAAUGCUUUGGCUUUGUGAGCUUUGAUAACCCGGGCAGCGCUCAGGCCGCCAUCCAGUCCAUGAACGGCUUUCAGAUCGGCAUGAAGAGACUCAAAGUGCAGCUGAAGAGGCCAAAGGACGCCAACCGCCCAUAUUAGCCCCGUCCCUCCCCCCAGCCACCCCUGACCCUGGGGGUGAAGGCCGCCGCUGCACACAGGGAACGAUAGGUUUUGUAGAGCUGGAACACAUGUUGAUAACAUGCCAAAUGUAUUUGAAAACACAACAGAUCAAGAUCAUCGGGGCUGGGGAUACAGUAGAGCUGAAGCGGGACAUGAGGAGGACGUAGCUGCGUGAUAUACCACCACCAGGCUCAAUGGACCUUUUUGGACUUCAGUGUUUAACUCAGGGGAGUUACUGGACCAUACCGUACUCCCUUCUCCGAACCCCCGAGCCCUUAUUUUGCAGGACCACAGGACACACUACUGAAGACCAACACAAAAUAUAUAUAUAUAUA
Molecule: long non-coding RNA, 778 nt
Organism: Sinocyclocheilus rhinocerous
Lineage: Eukaryota; Metazoa; Chordata; Actinopteri; Cypriniformes; Cyprinidae
Exons: 3
Source: RefSeq, a predicted model, not a curated record